RNAcentral lists this transfer RNA (68 nucleotides) under Pelodiscus axenaria (Hunan softshell turtle). RNAcentral describes it as "tRNA-Glu". It matches the Rfam family "tRNA". Rfam says of the family: Transfer RNA (tRNA) molecules are approximately 80 nucleotides in length. Their secondary structure includes four short double-helical elements and three loops (D, anti-codon, and T loops). RNAcentral also lists the same sequence under 1 other name. Lineage: Eukaryota; Metazoa; Chordata; Testudines; Trionychidae. The record is from RNAcentral.
AUUUUUAUAGUUGAAUACAACGGUGGUUUUUCAAAUCAUUAGUCUUGGUUAAAAUCCAGGUAAGAAUA